UACGAAGGGGGCUAGCGUUGCUCGGAAUCACUGGGCGUAAAGCGCACGUAGGCGGGUUCUUAAGUCAGGGGUGAAAUCCUGGAGCUCAACUCCAGAACUGCCUUUGAUACUGGGAAUCUCGAGUCCGGGAGAGGUGAGUGGAACUGCGAGUGUAGAGGUGAAAUUCGUAGAUAUCGUCAAGAACACCUAUAGCGAAGGCAGCUUACUAGGCUGUAACUGACGCUGAGGCACGAAAGUGUGGGGAUCAAACAGG
RNAcentral lists this ribosomal RNA (253 nucleotides) under uncultured bacterium. RNAcentral's name for it is "partial 16S ribosomal RNA". It matches the Rfam family "Bacterial small subunit ribosomal RNA", at positions 524 to 776 of the family's 1533-position model. The record is from RNAcentral.